RNAcentral lists this ribosomal RNA (482 nucleotides) under uncultured bacterium. RNAcentral describes it as "partial 16S ribosomal RNA". It matches the Rfam family "Bacterial small subunit ribosomal RNA", at positions 28 to 523 of the family's 1533-position model. The record is from RNAcentral.
GAUGAACGCUGGCGGCGUGCUUAACACAUGCAAGUCGAACGGUGACGCCCAGCUUGCGCGGUGGACCAGUUGCGAACGGGCGAGUAAGUCGUGAGCAACCUGCCUUGGCAUCUGGGAUAAGUGCUGUAAACGGCGUGUAAUACUGGAUAUGUGACGUGAUCGCAUGGUCGUGUUUGGAAAGAAAUUUCGGUCUGGGAUGGGCUCGCGGCCUAUCAGCUUGUUGGUGAGGUAAUGGCUCACCAAGGCGUCGACGGGUAGGCGGCCUGGGAGGGGGACCGGCCACACUGGGACUGAGACGCGGCCCAGACUCCUACGGGAGGCAGCAGUGGGAAAUAUGGCACAAUGGGCGGAAGCCUGAUGCAACAACGCCGCGUGAGGGAAGACGGCCUUCGGGUUGUAAACCUCUUUUAGCAGGGAAGAAGCGAAAGUGACGGUACCUGCAGAAAAAGCGCCGGCUAACUACGUGCCAGCCGCCGCAGUAA